Molecule: ribosomal RNA, 87 nt
Filed under: Clostridium beijerinckii
Lineage: Bacteria; Bacillati; Bacillota; Clostridia; Eubacteriales; Clostridiaceae
Source: RNAcentral
CUUCCCAUUCCGAACAGGAAAGUUAAGGUCUAUAGCGCCGAUGGUACUGCAUGGGAGACUGUGUGGCAGAGUAGGACAUUGCGAGGU